RNAcentral lists this ribosomal RNA (519 nucleotides) under uncultured Archaeospora. RNAcentral describes it as "SSU rRNA". It matches the Rfam family "Eukaryotic small subunit ribosomal RNA", at positions 569 to 1092 of the family's 1831-position model. Lineage: Eukaryota; Fungi; Glomeromycota; Glomeromycetes; Archaeosporales; Archaeosporaceae. The record is from RNAcentral.
AGCAGCCGCGGUAAAUCCAGCUCCAAUAGCGUAUAUUAAAGUUGUUGCAGUUAAAAAGCUCGUAGUUGAAUUUUGGAUUCUGCCAGUUGGUCCAUCUUUUGAUGAGUACUGAUUGUGUGGGGUCUAUCCGCCUGGUGAUACGUAAUGUACUUUAUUGUAUGUUGCGGGUAGUCAGGACCUUUACCUUGAAAAAUUAGAGUGUUUAAAGCAGGCUUAUGCCGGAAUACAUUAGCAUGGAAUAAUAGAAUAGGACGAUGUUGUUUUAUUUUGUUGGUUUCUAGGACAACCGUAAUGAUUAAUAGGGAUAGUUGGGGGCAUUAGUAUUCAAUUGUCAGAGGUGAAAUUCUUGGAUUUAUUGAAGACUAACUACUGCGAAAGCAUUUGCCAAGGAUGUUUUCAUUAAUCAAGAACGAAAGUUAGGGGAUCGAAGGCGACCAGAUACCGUCGUAGUCUUAACCAUAAACUAUGCCGACUAGGGAUCGGGCGAUGUUGUUUCCAUGACUCGCUCGGCACCUUAUA